GACGAACGCUGGCGGCGUGCUUAACACAUGCAAGUCGAACGAAGAGCGAUGGAAGCUUGCUUCUCUCAAUCUUAGUGGCGAACGGGUGAGUAACGCGUAAUCAACCUGCCCUUCAGAGGGGGACAACAGUUGGAAACGACUGCUAAUACCGCAUACGAUCUAAUCUCGGCAUCGAGGAUAGAUGAAAGGUGGCCUCUACAUGUAAGCUAUCACUGAAGGAGGGGAUUGCGUCUGAUUAGCUAGUUGGAGGGGUAACGGCCCAACAAGGCGAUGAUCAGUAGCCGGUCUGAGAGGAUGAACGGCCACAUUGGGACGGAGACACGGCCCAGACUCCUACGGGAGGCAGCAGUGGGGAAUCUUCCGCAAUGGACGAAAGUCUGACGGAGCAACGCCGCGUGAGUGAUGACGGCCUUCGGGUUGUAAAGCUCUGUUAAUCGGGACGAAAGGCCUUCUUGCGAAUAGGGAGAAGGAUUGACGGUACCGGAAGAGAAAGCCACGGCUAACUACGUG
This 510-nucleotide ribosomal RNA is filed under the name uncultured bacterium. Its description in RNAcentral is "partial 16S ribosomal RNA". It matches the Rfam family "Bacterial small subunit ribosomal RNA", at positions 28 to 507 of the family's 1533-position model. The record is from RNAcentral.